Salvelinus sp. IW2-2015 is the source of this 1341-nucleotide non-coding RNA. Lineage: Eukaryota; Metazoa; Chordata; Actinopteri; Salmoniformes; Salmonidae. The record is from RefSeq and is a predicted model, not a curated record.
UAACCCGCUGUUUCUAGGCCGUCAUUGAAAAUAAGAAUUUGUUCUUAACUGACUUGCCUAGUUAAAUWAAGGAAAGAAUGUKCUGUAGGCCUAUGACAUGAUACAUGUUCUAUAGGCCUAAUACAGUUGGCUGUUGAUUAAAUAURGAUGUCAAUGCAUUCCAGCACRCUGAUAUCAUAGUUGAGGGUCUGUUGCUGUCCUCUCAAAAGCUGAAAAGAAAUACCUUUGCAGAGUGGAUGAGGCCAACACACAUACUGUGCCCUACAUUAUAUGAGCAUAACACUCUUGGGAAUUUCACUUACUCCAACAUGUUCUCAGAGCAGAACGGAUUAUGAUUGGUUGCAUCAGACAACCAAUGAAAAAGAAGGAGGAGGUGGGAGGAGAUGCAGCUUCAACCCAUCAUUCAGGUCAUGUGGGGCAGACCUGUUUUGUGACCCACGUGUUUUGCUUGCUAGUAAACCAUUUUGCUGCUCUAAGGGAAGUUUGAGUCAACUGGGUCUUCUGUUGCUCUAAGAGCAGAACUGUCAGUACUGACCAUCAACACGGUCAGUACUCCACAUUCCUCUUCCCCCAUUUUCCUACAUUAUUUAUUUCCCUAUUAAUGAUGUUGUGAACGUGUGACCCAUGUGAAAUGCACUUAAAAUAAAACUCUUAAAAUAAACGUGAGUACUAACAUGUAAUUAUUUCCUGACUAAAACAUUCAUUAUUGAGUUGGUGAUGAUCAGAUGAUGUACGUUGGGUCAUCUUUUUUCUCCUAGGCAUGUAACRAGCUGGGACAGAUCUGGAUGUAGUCAGCCAAAGUGUUCCUGACUGUGCCCCUCGAAAACCUAGCUGCCAUUCACACUUAGAGGAGGGAGUACGAGACUGCAGAGUACGAGAUAGCCCUGAACAUCAGGAUGAGAGCUUGGACCCAGCCCCCCUCCCUGGCCUACACCCUCAAACACCUGGGCCUGCUCUACAAACGCAGGAAGAAGCAGAGUGAGGCGCUGCCCCUGUAUAAACAGGCUAUGAGAGUGUAUGAGGACAGUCUGGGACGCUCACGGGUCGGAGAGAAUCUGAAGAACCUAGCUGUACUCUCUGUGCGGAGGGGGUCUUUGAGAAAGUAGCAGAGCUUUACAAGCGAUCCAUGGAGAUCAAAGAGUCGGAACAGUCUCUGGUUUGUGGAAGGCCCCGUGUCGAUACUAGUCCCGUGGGGACAUGUUUAGCCCGCGAGGGCCCACACCUCUCCCACAUGCCCCCAGAAAUGCAUUGGUGGAGAAGGUUAGAGGGAGGGACCUUGCAGAGACUGAAAAACAGCUUCUAUCUCAAGGCCAUCAGACUGUUAAACAGCCAUCACUAACA